RNAcentral lists this ribosomal RNA (305 nucleotides) under uncultured bacterium. Its description in RNAcentral is "bacterial SSU rRNA". It matches the Rfam family "Bacterial small subunit ribosomal RNA", at positions 334 to 637 of the family's 1533-position model. The record is from RNAcentral.
GAAUCCUACGGGGGGCAGCAGUGAGGAAUAUUGGUCAAUGGCCAAGAGGCUGAACCAGCCAAGUCGCGUGAGGGAAGACGGCCCUACGGGUUGUAAACCUCUUUUGUCGGGGAGCAAAGAGAGUCACGUGUGACUCAUUGAGAGUACCCGAAGAAAAAGCAUCGGCUAACUCCGUGCCAGCAGCCGCGGUAAUACGGAGGAUGCGAGCGUUAUCCGGAUUUAUUGGGUUUAAAGGGUGCGCAGGCGGAGGUGCAAGUCAGCGGUCAAAUUGCGGGGCUCAACCCCGUUCUGCCGUUGAAACUGCA